GUCCUCGUAGCUCAGCUGGUAGAGCAUGCGCGUACAAAGCGUAGGCGGCGUCCAUGCGUGGGUUCGAAUCCCACCGAGACUA
This 82-nucleotide transfer RNA is filed under the name Echinostoma caproni. It matches the Rfam family "tRNA". Rfam says of the family: Transfer RNA (tRNA) molecules are approximately 80 nucleotides in length. The record is from Rfam by way of RNAcentral. Lineage: Eukaryota; Metazoa; Platyhelminthes; Trematoda; Plagiorchiida; Echinostomatidae.